AUGAGUGUAUUAAUAGUCUCAACAUUUAAAUCUUUGGUCCAGCGACAGCUCCUAGGAUGCUGGCUUGCAGGAGGGCUGCCAGAGGCCAAGGGCAUUGUGCUACUAGCACUCAGUGCCAGGCAGUGGAUGCCUGGAGUGAAAUUAAGAGCCCAGAGCAAGUGCAAGGACAAGAUUCCUUCUGGGGAAAAAAAAAAAAAAGAGAAAAAAAAAAAAAGGAACAAUAAUAGCUCAAUGACUCAACAAAGGAAAGGUAACAGCAACCACAACCCCCCCCUGCACCAUGCACACAUCGCAAGCCCACUCCUUUGUGCUGGGCAAGGCCCUGGCAGCCCCCUCGCUCCCUGCGAGCUCUUGGAGCACAUGCAGGCAGGCGGCUGCUCCUCCAGCUCCCCCACAGUCUUCUAGGGCCGCAAAGCCGCCCCACAGCUGGCACCAGCUCCUCCAUUCACAAGGGUGGGAGGAUGGUACCGUCGCCCUCCCUUGCUCAGAGAUGAUCAUGCAGAAACCACCUGAGCCUUGCCAGGAAUGAGGGUCCCAAGAAAGCCAACCCCGAGAUGAGUUAGACUGAAUGGGCACAGCCUCCACGCAGUGACGUUUCUGCCAGUUGCGGAGGCCAGGUCUCUUUAAAGGGAUCAUCCCUUCCUGUCCUCCUCCUACUCCAAAUGUUGUUCCAGGGGAGCAAGAAGAGGGUACGUUUGGAAGAUGGUGUUAGUACUAAAACAGCAAGAUGUUGCUCAGGCAAGGGUGCAAAAAAGCUUCUUUUCACAGACUCAGCACUAACCAACUCAUUGCUGCUAUCUCUCGUGGAGCUGCCAGAGCACCCAGGCCAAGGGGGGGGGGAGCCAAAAACAGCCCAGUGCUCCACCUCUGAGCAUCUCUCAGAUGCUUGGGGCUGGGGCCAGUGCUGACACCCCAUCUCUCUCCAUCUGCAGGGAGAGAGGAGCAGCUCCAUCUCCAGCACCACACGGAUCUGGCCCAAUCUAAGCACAAGAAAAAUCUGGCCUCUGAUAUGGACCCAAGAGCUUUGGCAGCACUGACUAGUCCCAAGCAUUAGCAGCCCAGGUACCAAUUAAGUCCUCCCAGAAGGGAGCAAGGAACAGGCACAGUGUCACCUGCCCAGCAGUCAGCUGCAAGAAGGGUUGCUGUAAUACCUGCUGUUGGACUGGGGCUGCCUGUCUGUCCCGAGGCACAAAGAAGGAACCCACUCUCCUUCCUUCUCACCUUAGCCCACUCCAGCCACUAUGGAUCCUUGGUACACAGAAGGGAGCAGAAAACUAGUGCUGUCUCUACCGGCAGACACAGCUGCUCUGCUUUGCCCCGCCAUGCACCAGGCCCCAGCAAGCCUAAGCACUCAACUCACCGGGGACAGAGAUGGAAGGAGAGCAAGUGAUUUGUGAGCCUGGCA
Molecule: long non-coding RNA, 1405 nt
Filed under: Apteryx rowi (Okarito brown kiwi)
Lineage: Eukaryota; Metazoa; Chordata; Aves; Apterygiformes; Apterygidae
Description: lncRNA (ENSARWG00000007365.1)
Source: RNAcentral